CGUGUAGGCGGUCAGGUAAGUGGGAUGUGAAAUGCCCCGGCUCACCCGGGGACCGGCAUCUCAUACUGCUUGGCUUGAGUACGGGAGAGGAUGUGGGAAUUCCUGGUGUAGCGGUGAAAUGCGUAGAUAUCAGGAGGAACACCGGUGGCGAAGGCGCACAUCUGGCCCGAUACUGACGCUGAGGCGCGAAAGCUAGGGGAGCAAACG
This 207-nucleotide ribosomal RNA is filed under the name uncultured bacterium. RNAcentral's name for it is "partial 16S ribosomal RNA". It matches the Rfam family "Bacterial small subunit ribosomal RNA", at positions 568 to 774 of the family's 1533-position model. The record is from RNAcentral.